UGAGAAGCAAAUACAUAUCAAAGCUCACUUUCCUCAUGGGUAGAAAGCUAUUUGACUAACAGAUUUCAGCGGUGCCUUGGUGACAAGAAAAGAAAAAACCCUCCAAGGAUUCUGGAGGAAGUUGAAAGGCAGGAGGUCAGGCUUCCACCUGCAGGUAGAAUGAGUGUUUGCCAUUUCCUCAAAUUCCUUGAGACCACCCACUGGCAUGAAGGAUGGUGAGCAAAGCCUGGGGAAUGAAGACUAUCUUUCAAAAGGUGCUUCCUGGGAGAUUUAAGGGAGAAAAAGAAAAUAAUUUGUUGGUUUGUAUGUCAGCUAGCAAGGCUUUUGAUCAUUCAGUUGGGACAGUUCUGCCUGGAAGGGAUCAAUCUCUUUUUAUUCCAAAGACUAACACCAACAGAUACAAAUCAAAGGAGGUAUUCUUUCAACAAAGGAAAUUGCAGAAAGGAUGCCUAGGCUUAAUUAAAAUAUAACCUUUUGUUUUAAGGACUUUUCUUUCCCUUGCAAAAGGGAAUGCACUCUCUGAAGAAGCAUAUGCCAGCACUGGUGAGAUACAGUUCUUCAACAAGUAAGGAUCUGUCUACAUUCGGGGCACGUCUUGGGGAAGCCUUGAAGGGAAUCGUGCCUGGAGUCCCAUCUGACUUAACUCAUCAUCACAGUCCUUCAUCACAACAUAAUGAGUGUUAUUACUUCCUCAUGUGGCCUGUGGGCUUUGUUAAUUAAAGAAUGGAAAGUUCAAAGAUGGAAAUCGUCAGAGGCUUCCAAGAUGGCUGAAUAGGAACAGCUCCAGUCCGCAGCUCCCAGCAAGAUUGAUGCAGAAGGCGGAUGAUUUCUGCAUUUCCAACUAAGUGCCAUGACUUAAGGAGUGAAGAGAGGGCAUAGAGAACAAGCAGAGUAUGCAGGGCAUAUGCUGAGAUAAGAAACUGGAUCUGAAACAAGUUGAAUACUUGCAGAAUCCUCUCCUUGUGGGGGCUGAGUGCUGUCUGGUGCUAAACGUUUCCAGCCAGGGAACUUCUAACCUCUCUCUGGAGACACUCCUGAAUACAUUAGUAAGUUGGAUUCUUCUCUUUCUUUUCACCUCACUGCCAC
This 1086-nucleotide long non-coding RNA is filed under the name Homo sapiens (human). RNAcentral describes it as "HSALNT0190570". The record is from RNAcentral. Lineage: Eukaryota; Metazoa; Chordata; Mammalia; Primates; Hominidae.